RNAcentral lists this ribosomal RNA (260 nucleotides) under uncultured bacterium. Its description in RNAcentral is "partial 16S ribosomal RNA". It matches the Rfam family "Bacterial small subunit ribosomal RNA", at positions 1066 to 1326 of the family's 1533-position model. The record is from RNAcentral.
CGUGAGAUGUUGGGUUAAGUCCCGCAACGAGCGCAACCCUCGCCCUGUGUUGCCAGCACGUCGUGGUGGGAACUCACGGGGGACCGCCGGGGUCAACUCGGAGGAAGGUGGGGAUGACGUCAGAUCAUCAUGCCCCUUACGUCCAGGGCUUCACGCAUGCUACAAUGGCCGGUACAACGGGAUGCGACACCGCGAGGUGGAGCGGAUCCCUUAAAACCGGUCUCAGUUCGGAUUGAGUCUGCAACCCGACUCCAUGAAGU